GUAACGGCGAGUGAAGCGGCAACAGCUCAGAUUUGAAAUCUGGCCCCUUCGGGGUCCGAGUUGUAAUCUGUAGAGGAUGCUUUUGGCGACGCGCCUUCCGAGUCCCCUGGAACGGGGCGCCAGAGAGGGUGAGAGCCCCGUAUGGUUGGACGCCGAACCUCUGUAAAGCUCCUUCGACGAGUCGAGUAGUUUGGGAAUGCUGCUCAAAAUGGGAGGUAAAUUUCUUCUAAAGCUAAAUACCGGCCAGAGACCGAUAGCGCACAAGUAGAGUGAUCGAAAGAUGAAAAGCACUUUGAAAAGAGGGUCAAAUAGCACGUGAAAUUGCUGAAAGGGAAGCGCUUGUGACCAGACUUGCGCCCGGUUGAUCAUCCAGCGUUCUCGCUGGUGCACUCUGCCGGGCUCAGGCCAGCAUCGGCUCUCCCAGGGGGAUAAAGGUCGCGGGAACGUAGCUCUCUCCGGGGAGUGUUAUAGCCCGUGGCGGAAUGCCCUUAGGGGGGGCCGAGGCCCGCGUUCGCAAGGAUGCUGGCGUAAUGGUCACCAGCGACCCGUCUUGAAACACGGACCAAGGAGUCAAGCAUUAGGGCGAGUCUUUGGGUGUAAAACCCGCAGGCGCAAUGAAAGUGAACGGAGGUGAGAGCUUCGGCGCAUCAUCGACCGAUCCUGAUGUUCUCGGAUGGAUUUGAGUAAGAGCCUUACCGCUUGGACCCGAAAGAUGGUGAACUAUGCCUGAAUAGGGUGAAGCCAGAGGAAACUCUGGUGGAGGCUCGCAGCGGUUCUGACGUGCAAAUCGAUCGUCAAAUUUGGGCAUGGGGGCGAAAGACUAAUCGAACCAUCUAGUAGCUGUAC
This 846-nucleotide ribosomal RNA is filed under the name Distoseptispora tectonae. RNAcentral's name for it is "partial large subunit ribosomal RNA". It matches the Rfam family "Eukaryotic large subunit ribosomal RNA", at positions 83 to 957 of the family's 3401-position model. Lineage: Eukaryota; Fungi; Ascomycota; Sordariomycetes; Distoseptisporaceae. The record is from RNAcentral.